RNAcentral lists this ribosomal RNA (253 nucleotides) under uncultured bacterium. Its description in RNAcentral is "partial 16S ribosomal RNA". It matches the Rfam family "Bacterial small subunit ribosomal RNA", at positions 524 to 776 of the family's 1533-position model. The record is from RNAcentral.
UACGUAGGGUGCAAGCGUUAAUCGGAAUUACUGGGCGUAAAGCGUGCGCAGGCGGUUAUGUAAGUCUGGUGUGAAAUCCCCGGGCUUAACCUGGGAACUGCAUUUGUGACUGCAUAGCUAGAGUACGGUAGAGGGGGAUGGAAUUCCGCGUGUAGCAGUGAAAUGCGUAGAUAUGCGGAGGAACACCGAUGGCGAAGGCAAUCCCCUGGACCUGUACUGACGCUCAUGCACGAAAGCGUGGGGAGCAAACAGG